This 2085-nucleotide long non-coding RNA is filed under the name Helianthus annuus (common sunflower). Lineage: Eukaryota; Viridiplantae; Streptophyta; Magnoliopsida; Asterales; Asteraceae. The record is from RNAcentral.
UAGCCGCCUCCCUACGAAGGAACACCACGAAAAAAAACUAAAUCAAGUUAUUCAUCUUCUUUUUAUAUAAUUCAGUUCUAGAUGCAAAUGAAUCAAGUUUUUGUUUUUUUUUUCAUCUGUCUUUUGCUCAUUCAAGCUCACAAUUGGGGGAAGAAAUUUUAGGGUUUGUUAAAGGAGAUGGUCAGAACUCAGAACGACGGCAAUGGAUUGGAAUUCAGGGUUCUUCGAUCUCAUCUCGGUUAAUUUUGGUUUUUCUUGUGAGUUUCGGCGAGACUAAGGUUUCAGAUCCACGAUUUAGGUUAUCAGAUCUACGAUUAUGGAUUUUAGAAACAAAAAUCGUUCUAGGGUUACGAUUUUUAUUUAAAGUAUGUCUAUGUAUUCGGUCUAGGGCCUUUAUAAACUACAUUGGUGAAAAUGGAAAUUGGCUCUGGCAAAGAUGAUUGCUAUACAAGCCGGAAAAGGUAUGGUGGAUCAUGCUACAAGAGGGGAAAGAAAAGUGAAGGUCGCAUCCGAUGAAAUCCUUCGUUUUUGGUGAUUCAGUUUUGUUUACUGUCAUUGAACAUUGUUAGUUUGUUUAUCAGUGGGUGAAUCAUCCUAAGAUGUUAGAUGCCGAAUGCAAGAGGACAUUUAAGGUACUUAAUAUUUUCAUAAGUUUUAGUACUCUUUGUAAAUUGCAAUGAUAUUGUUUCAGGACACUGACUUUAAAGAAUGGAAGCUGGUGAUUCAAUAAAUAAUCAAGUUGGACAAAUAUACAAGUGGAAUGCGAAAGUAUCUCAUGGGGAUUAUAAUGUUGUGUGAAGGGUGUUUGAAGUUACUGUCAUGAUAGAAAGCUCUUCCUUCAGGUCUUUUGAAUUAGGGUGGACGCAUUGCUAGCCAGACCCGAGGUCCAUGGGGUAUGGUUGUCGGUCUCUUUUAAGAACAUAACCAGUUUGGGUCGUGCCUGUUUGGACCUGGUAUACCACACGCCCCGCCACACCUUUUUUGUUAGGCUGUGAUGAGUGGCGUUAGACUGUAGCUGUCCGUACAUGUUGUUGACGCGCCAUUUCUCUCUUUCAUUGCCAUUAUGGAUGGUUUCCCUCUUUCUGGCAGUUUUUAUAUGUUUGUUGGCACUUUGGAACAAGAACAAUGGAAAAUAAGAAUUUUUGAAGAAACAAUAUGAAGUUGAUGUGAGAGUUGGCGGGAAACUAACGAUGUUUCAGAAGAUGGCUAAAUAUAGGAUGAGGGUGCCAAUACAAUUGUGCAUUGGUUGCAAGAAACCAUGUUACAGGUGGAGUGGAUUGGUUACUUAUCAUAUUACACGGUUCUCUAUGUAGAGAAGAAAAAAGUAAUGUAUAAAGAUGCACCACAAGAUGUGUAGAGCAUAGAAAUCUACUAUCUCAGAUUAUAUGAAGAUGUGAUUGUGUUUGAUCACGUGCAAAAGUUAAUGUGAACUGUCCCAACGCACAAAGAGAGCAUAUCCGGAGAAUAUUCAUUUGCUUGGACGAUUGGAUAGACGAAGGCUCAUGUUAUCGACAAAGUUUUGUUACCCCUUAAUGGCAAAUUGAGCCAAAUGGCCUUUCGUGUGACAACCAUCGAUGUCUCAGCUGUGGACUUGACCACGAGAAUGAAAGGCGUCUACUUAUGAGUAGGACAAGGCUGCCACUAGCAACUUUUGAAGGUUAUACGAAGCGAAGGGAUUGGAUGAUUAUACUUUCAUGGUUGGAUUCUUAUAACAGGCUAUACGAAGCGAAGGGAUUGGAGGAUUAUACAUUGGCCUUAGGAGAGACCCUGGCUUUAUACAUUUCAUGAUUCUAAAUCUGUAUAUAGUGAGUAUCAUAAACUCUAUAUCUACUAAGAAUGUGCCUCACAGUUUUGUGUUUGUGACUCAUGCGCCUCAUAGCAAUAUGUUCUAGAGUUGUAUGUACGACAUUCAGUGGGUUUGAAGUUAUAAUGGUUCUAAGGUUGUAUAUCCUACAUCAAUUGGGUAUAAAAUGAUUAAAGGUUGUAUAUAGUACAUCAAAUUGGUCUUUGUAAGUUUCUCUUUAUCAUAUUGUAGAAAAUGGAGUAUUUUAUUCUUUUGCAGAAAUUAAAUAUUUAUUAACAUGU